UGGGAUGUAGCUAAGUGAUAAAGUGUUUGCUUGCCUAGCAUGCAUAAGGCCUGUGUUCAAUUCCCAGUACCACAA
RNAcentral lists this transfer RNA (75 nucleotides) under Ictidomys tridecemlineatus (thirteen-lined ground squirrel). Its description in RNAcentral is "Spermophilus tridecemlineatus (thirteen-lined ground squirrel) tRNA". It matches the Rfam family "tRNA". From Rfam's summary of the family: Transfer RNA (tRNA) molecules are approximately 80 nucleotides in length. Their secondary structure includes four short double-helical elements and three loops (D, anti-codon, and T loops). Lineage: Eukaryota; Metazoa; Chordata; Mammalia; Rodentia; Sciuridae. The record is from Rfam by way of RNAcentral.